CUAGCAGCUUCCUCUCAAAGAAAAUCCUAACUUCCCCAAAGAACAAACUAUCCAGAGAGUUGGUGAGUAAAAGAAGGGGGCUGGAAAGAGGGGAGCUUGCCUCACUUCUUCCUUUGGGAGACGAUUUCUGGCUCAGAGCACCCACUUCCCUCUUUGUCCUCCUCAACAGGGUUCAAAGGAAGUUGGGAUCCCUUCGAAGAUCCUGAAGGAGGGGGCGGCCCAGGGCCUUGAUACAGAGAGGUUCCUCCUUCCCAGGUUCAGGGGCACAUGGCAGGCAGAGGUCUCCUCCCUCCCUCAAUUGAGGCCAAGGGGGUCUCAGCCUGCAGCCUUUUUCCAGGGAGGCUUGGGGGACUCCACCUAAGAGAGAAGGGAGGACUUCUUGUGACCUUGCCUUCUUGUCUCCUUGCAGUGUCUAUGAGCCCCCUCAGAAGACAUCAAGGGUAAAGGGGGUAGUAAAAAGGGGGUGGGCCCCUUCCUCUCCACCCCCUGCCUCUUUUCAUCUCCCUGCCCCUCCUUGAACCUUCUUCCUCCUACUCUAGUCUUUCUCCCCUGGGCUGACUUCCCAUUCCUUCUCUUUUGGCCCCAUACUAACGAUGGAAGGGGGCAGGCCCUAUUUCACUCCUCUGCUCAAUUGUCUUUUACAGGACUCUGAAGCAGCAAUGCUGGCGGACAUCCCCAGCCUGGAGGAUGAGGUGUGGGACCCUCUCCCCAGUUCGAGCAGGUGCGUUGCUCUUCACCAGGAGGGAUGACCAUUGUAACCCUUCUUGUCCUCAGUCGCUGUUCUACCAGGCCUCACCUCCUUGUUCCUCUCUUCUAGAUCCCUAGGACAUGAGGAAGAAGACCCGGCUCUGCACCCUCGGAGAUGGUCCUCCCUGGACCCAGAGCAGUGAAACCCCCAGAGAAGGCCAACCCAUUUGUGGCUGUCAGUGGCCUUUACUAGCCUAUGAAGCAGGUGGCCAUUCCUCCUUCCCUGGCGCUGUGGAUCCCGAUGGGCCGAGAUACCCCUUGGGUUCCCCCUGCCCUCCCACCCACCCCUUCCUUACCUGGAUUCACCUGGAUGGAGGCCUGGCUGCUGGGGGCCAUGGAGGAAGAGGGGCAGCGCAUCCCACUUGCAGGGCCGCUCCGGAUGAAGGAUCCAAGGGACAGUGACCAUCGAGGGCCCAUGACCACCGAGGGACGCUGAACAUCAAAGGACCCUGGCCAUCAAGGGACAUUAACCUCAAGGGAGCCUGACCAUAGAGGAAGCCUGACCAUUGAGGAACACUUAACAUCAAGAGACCCUGACUGGCACCUGCAAGAACAAGGAGGGAGAAGACAGAACUACUUUUUUUUCUUUUAUUGUAAAAAUUUAAAAUUUGUGUUUGUUGUUAUUUAACAUAUUGUUAUUGUCUUGUUGUGUGGGAGAGGAUCCCACUCCCCUGUGAAAGCGCUGCUCUUCCCAUUUGGCCACUAUGGCUGCCUCCUGUGAAUUGGCGCUUUCCAUGGCCCUCCUCUGCAAACCCCAGGACUCACAGCCCAGCACUGGAAGAGAAGAGCUGCCCUUGAACAGCACAGUGAGAGAAGCCCCCCCCCCCCCCACUCUCUGUUUUUUGUAAUUUAAGAUGAUAUAAUUGUAUAAUCUAAUAUUGUAUAAUUUAAUUUUUUCUGGUGAGAAUAAAUGUACCCCUUUAAUUUUACUUUGACACUUUCUAUGGAUUCCUUUGGGGAGGGAGACCCAAAUUGCCCAGGACCUGCAACUGAGACCCCAUCAACACUGAAUUUUUCAUGCAGGUUGAACUGCAUAUGAGGCUGAGUUAAUACUGCCCUCUAUCCCAGGAUCUGAUCUGCUUGGAUUAUAUGAGUCUGAGAAAAGCAGAUAGUCUGGGAUCAGAUCCUGGGCUAUAGAGCAGUGUAGAUCCAACCGAAGUCUGUACUGAACAUAUAAUACAGUACAAACUGCAUGAAAUGACAGUAUAGAUAAGGUUGUAGGCCCCAUCUACACUGCCAUAUAAUCCAGUUUCAGAAUGCUUAUUAACUAUAGCUCAAACUAUGGCAGUGUAGACGGGGCAAUAGUCUGUGUUGUAUAGACUUUUUAACCAGGGUUGUCAUGUCGGGCAACACUGACGUAAAUUGUGAUUUAUUGUAUUAUUUUAUAGUCUGUUUUGUAAUCAAGUAUAUAAUAUCUGCUGUACAGUUUUAAACAUCUUUGUUUAGAAUAAAAGUACUCCUUUCUUUUUAA
Anolis carolinensis (green anole) is the source of this 2218-nucleotide long non-coding RNA. RefSeq lists it as uncharacterized. The record is from RefSeq and is a predicted model, not a curated record. The transcript has 2 exons. NCBI's taxonomy places the organism in Eukaryota, Metazoa, Chordata, Lepidosauria, Squamata, Anolidae.